GUCACCUCAAAGUCAACAUCAAUCCGAAACACCAGCCUUACAAUGGGUUCCAAUGACGUUAUCAAAUCGAUAAUAACAGGAAAUUUCAAAAGAAAUAAAAUUAAUGUAGUAUAGAUUCGUUGGGCUCUGGGCCCAAAAUUAACAACGGAGGGUACGACGAGUCGUAUUCAAUCAUAUAACUCAAUUCAAUUCAAAUUCAAAAGCAGGUCUAGUGACGUGUAGAAUGAGUGAUCUAGUUGGAAACCAACUAUCCCUCCCACAUCGUUCAGUUGAGAAAUAGCUAAACAUUUUAUAAGCAAAGGCAAGGUCACUAGUGGUCGUCUCUUCGGAGACAUCCGAUAAAAUUGGAACGAUACAGAGAAGAUUAGCAUGGCCCCUGCGCAAGGAUGACACGCACAAAUCGAGAAAUGGUCCAAAUUUUUUUACCUUCUGAAUAUUUGAGCUGGGUUUCUCACAAUGGUUUGAUUUUGAACCGGGUUUGAUUAUUUUGUAUGAAUUUAUUUUUGAGCUGGGUUUCUCACAAUGGUUUGAUAAUUUUGUAAAUUUUCAGCUGGGUGGUUUAUUUUGAACUGGGUUUGAUUAUUUUGUAUGAAUUUUUAGCUGGGUAGUUUGAUUUUGAAGUGGGUUUUGUUUGAUUAUUUGGUUUGAAUGUUUGGGUUUCUAGGUUUUUGUUAUUUGAUUGUUGCAUGCUAAAUUUAAUUAAUGGGGUUGUGGGUGUUAUUGGAUUGGCGUUUCUGAAAUAUCUUUUUAACAGAAUUUGACCGCCCUUUAAUAACUCAUUUCGCCAUGGCUUCUGUAUCUCUUCAUGCUGUUUGUUUUCAACACACAAAUAUUGAAGUAUAAGCAAUAAUAUAUUGAUAGGAUCUAUUUAUUUUAAGCUCACCAGUUUUUCACUUCUGUGGAAGCCCUUUCAUAAGCCUCUGAUGAGCUCAGCUCUAAUUUUUUUCUUUUCUUCAUAAUGAUUGCCUUACAAAUUUCUAUUUCUGUUCUUAAUUGCUGAUGAACAUAAACUGUUGUUUGCAGUGACUUAUAUUUAGAGUGGUUGCAUUCAUUGGAUAAUUUUCUUGGGUUCCUUGUGAAAAUUACAAUUAACCAGUUUUUCUUUAGUUGCUAUCCUACCUUUUUGGUAAGAUCCAUAUCACUAAACUUAGAAUAUUUGUAUGAGGCUUGAAGGUCAUCGAUGAGGUAUUUCACAGUGCAGAUGGUUGAUGUUUCAUAAAUUAUUCUGUUUAAUGCAAUUUGAUUCCUUGAUUUACAGUUUGACUUGGUUAUUCUGAUAUUCCAAUGUAAACAGAAUAUCACUUACAUUAUUUGCCAACUGAUACUGACACAGCAAAUAUAAAGGCCCCAGGGAGAGAGCUUCAAAGGGGAUGCAACUUGAAGAGAGAGUGGUUCAGAGUUAUCAAUUUCAACAGUUCAAGAGGAUGACAUGUGGUAGGCUAUGAGUGGAGAGAAUCAUGAAAUGAUAAUAAAAGGGGAGUGUAGAGUGAUGGGGUUGGUGCUUUAGAGUCAGUUCCCAUGACAUGAUAAUAACAGAUGACACAAAAGGGAGAUUAGGCACCCCUAGAGACAACAAGCACACUUGACAGUAAAUUGGUUGGGCAGUUAUGAGAGGAGCAAGGAUAACAUAGAGAGUUUGAAGAGGAGGAUGAAUCAAGCAGGAAAACUGUCGAAAACAACUGGGGGAGAAACCUAGUCUCCCGAAUACCAAGCGUGGAGAGGGUGUAGCUGCUCUUUGUUAUUUUAGCAAUUGCCUUGGGAGGAGCUAGCACCUCUGUUACAAGCAUAUUUCAUUUCUCUAUACUCGAUUGCUAUUGUUUUGUCGUUUUGCAAAACUUAAGAUGUAGUGUUAGAUUGGAGAUAUAUCUAAAUUUCACUUUGGUUUA
This is a long non-coding RNA of Mangifera indica (mango), 1886 nucleotides long. RefSeq lists it as uncharacterized. The record is from RefSeq and is a predicted model, not a curated record. The transcript is spliced from 2 exons. NCBI's taxonomy places the organism in Eukaryota, Viridiplantae, Streptophyta, Magnoliopsida, Sapindales, Anacardiaceae.